RNAcentral lists this non-coding RNA (28 nucleotides) under Mus musculus (house mouse). The record is from RNAcentral. Lineage: Eukaryota; Metazoa; Chordata; Mammalia; Rodentia; Muridae.
UCCCAACUCCGAGAAGAGUCCAGGGAGC